RNAcentral lists this ribosomal RNA (250 nucleotides) under uncultured Gemella sp. Its description in RNAcentral is "partial 16S ribosomal RNA". It matches the Rfam family "Bacterial small subunit ribosomal RNA", at positions 113 to 354 of the family's 1533-position model. The record is from RNAcentral. Lineage: Bacteria; Bacillati; Bacillota; Bacilli; Caryophanales; Gemellaceae.
CGACGUAAAGAACCUACCUUAUAGACAGGGACAACUAUUGGAAACGAUAGCUAAUACCUGAUAAGAAAGAAACUCGCAUGAGAGAAGUUCGAAAGUCGGAGCAAUCUGACACUAUAAGAUGGCUUUGCGGUGCAUUAGCUAGUUGGUAGAGUAAAAGCCUACCAAGGCGACGAUGCAUAGCCGACCUGAGAGGGUGAUCGGCCACAUUGGGACUGAGACACGGCCCAGACUCCUACGGGAGGCAGCAGGG